RNAcentral lists this transfer RNA (75 nucleotides) under Pseudomonas aeruginosa. Its description in RNAcentral is "tRNA-Arg". It matches the Rfam family "tRNA". Rfam says of the family: Transfer RNA (tRNA) molecules are approximately 80 nucleotides in length. Their secondary structure includes four short double-helical elements and three loops (D, anti-codon, and T loops). Lineage: Bacteria; Pseudomonadati; Pseudomonadota; Gammaproteobacteria; Pseudomonadales; Pseudomonadaceae. The record is from RNAcentral.
GUGUAUAAGAGACAGGGAUAGAGUACUCGGCUACGAACCGAGCGGUCGGAGGUUCGAAUCCUCCUGAGUGCGCCA